GCAACCAUAACGGAGGGGAAACACCCGAUCCCAUUCCGAACUCGGAAGUUAAGCCCUCCAGUGCCGAUGGUACUGCGUGGGUAACUGCGUGGGAGAGUAGGUCGUUGCCGGGU
This 113-nucleotide ribosomal RNA is filed under the name Ignavibacteria bacterium. Lineage: Bacteria; Pseudomonadati; Ignavibacteriota; Ignavibacteria. The record is from RNAcentral.